This 125-nucleotide small nucleolar RNA is filed under the name Sorex araneus (European shrew). RNAcentral's name for it is "Small nucleolar RNA SNORA70 (ENSSARG00000020095.1)". It matches the Rfam family "Small nucleolar RNA SNORA70". Rfam says of the family: snoRNA U70 seems to be exclusive to mammals and is a member of the H/ACA class of snoRNA which contain H (ANANNA) and ACA box motifs. H/ACA box snoRNAs are involved in the conversion of uridines to pseudouridines (5-ribosyluracil) a constituent of structural RNAs (transfer, ribosomal, small nuclear, and small nucleolar). Lineage: Eukaryota; Metazoa; Chordata; Mammalia; Eulipotyphla; Soricidae. The record is from RNAcentral.
AUGCAGCCAGCUAAGCUGAGUGUGCACUCUGCCUCGGGGACCGUAACUGCAAACAGCAGCCGCCCUGCUGGUGUCCACAAACCUGAGGGUUGUAUGGGCUGAUCUAAGGGACCUAGGGGGCAGUU